This 274-nucleotide ribosomal RNA is filed under the name uncultured bacterium. RNAcentral describes it as "partial 16S ribosomal RNA". It matches the Rfam family "Archaeal small subunit ribosomal RNA", at positions 473 to 747 of the family's 1478-position model. The record is from RNAcentral.
ACACCAGCACCUCAAGUGGUCAGGAUGAUUAUUGGGCCUAAAGCAUCCGUAGCCUGUCCUGUAAGUUUUCGGUUAAAUCUGUAUGCUCAACAUACAGGCUGCCGGGAAUACUGCAGGACUAGGGAGUGGGAGAGGUAGACGGUACUCGGGAGGAAGUGGUAAAAUGCUUUGAUCUCUCGAUGACCACCUGUGGCGAAGGCGGUCUACCAGAACACGUCCGACGGUGAGGGAUGAAAGCUGGGGGAGCAAACCGGAUUAGAAACCCCAGUAGUCC